This 307-nucleotide long non-coding RNA is filed under the name Phoenix dactylifera (date palm). Its description in RNAcentral is "long non-coding RNA (PDAC_LNC001327)". The record is from RNAcentral. Lineage: Eukaryota; Viridiplantae; Streptophyta; Magnoliopsida; Arecales; Arecaceae.
GGGAUUUGGGCUCUUAACAGAGCUUUGCAAGGGUUUUCUUUCUUUCACGGAAAACAAUUGAUCAAAAGAAUGAGGGCGGCGCCCCCUCUACAACUCCUAUAUACGGCACCCAAAGAGAGCCAUGACUCACCCUAAUCCCUAAUCAAACUCUAAUCAAAUGAACUUCUAAUUAAGUCCAAAGUUAAAACUGAAACAAACAUAAUUUAGGACCCAAUUUAAACUAAACAAGGACUCUAAACAAGACUCAACCAAACCUAAAACAAAGUCUCCUACAUGGCUUCAAAUUGACUUCAUUCUGGUUCUGCAN